UACGGGGGGAGCAAGCGUUGUUCGGAUUUACUGGGCGUAAAGGGCGCGUAGGCGGCCACCGCAAGUCGACUGUGAAAUCUCCGGGCUUAACCCGGAAAGGUCAGCCGAUACUGCGGGGCUAGAGUGCAGAAGGGGCAACUGGAAUUAUCGGUGUAGCAGUGAAAUGCGUAGAUAUCGAUAGGAACACUCGUGGCGAAAGCGAGCUACUGGACAUUUACUGACGCUGAGGCUCGAAGGCUAGGGGAGCGAAAGGG
Molecule: ribosomal RNA, 254 nt
Filed under: uncultured prokaryote
Description: partial 16S ribosomal RNA
Rfam family: Bacterial small subunit ribosomal RNA
Source: RNAcentral